UGCCAGCCGCCGCGGUAAUACGGAGGGAGCGAGCGUUAAUCGGAAUUACUGGGCGUAAAGCGCGCGUAGGCGGCUUUGUAAGUCGGAUGUGAAAGCCCUGGGCUCAACCAGGGAAUUGCAUUCGAUACUGCAUGGCUAGAGUGUGGCAGAGGAAAGCGGAAUUCCCGGUGUAGCGGUGAAAUGCGUAGAUAUCGGGAGGAACAUCAGUGGCGAAGGCGGCUUUCUGGACCGAUACUGACGCUGAGACGCGAAAGCGUGGGGAGCAAACAGGAUUAGAUG
Molecule: ribosomal RNA, 279 nt
Filed under: uncultured bacterium
Lineage: Bacteria
Description: partial 16S ribosomal RNA
Rfam family: Bacterial small subunit ribosomal RNA
Source: RNAcentral